Molecule: long non-coding RNA, 3484 nt
Filed under: Polistes fuscatus (common paper wasp)
Lineage: Eukaryota; Metazoa; Arthropoda; Insecta; Hymenoptera; Vespidae
Description: uncharacterized LOC122525289
Source: RNAcentral
AAACGGAAUCAAAAAUCAUUGCUUUGUUGUAAGGAUUGGUAAUCAAUUUUUUCUAUGCGUAUAAUUACAUUUAUAAAAUAUAGAAAUAAUAAGCGAGCGCAAUAUCGAAAUGAAACGAUUCAUUUAUUACUUUGGGUUGCUUUCAGACUCGCCAAUAAAAUCGCCAAUGUGGGAAUCGUGCUGUGAACUUUGGCAAAUCGAUCACGAAGUCCUAUCACUUAGAAACAAGCGAUGUUCUUUCUCGUAUACUCGCCGUGGGGUUCGUACAACUAAUUAGCAUGCUAAUUAAGCGGCACCGAAGAUUUUACAGACUCCACGGAGAGGGAGAGAGGGAGAGAGGGAGAGAGGGAGAGAGAAAGGAGUUCCAGGGUGAUAUUCUUUACUCUUUCUUUCCCCUCUUUCUCUUCCCUCUUUUAACCUAAGGCUUACUUCGACUUUCUCUUCCUCGUCAUAAUCUCGAGUUGAUGAUAAUCCUGUACAAAGAUAAAAAUGGAUUUUAACAAUUAUCGAUCUUUCAAUAUUAUCUUGGAAAGGAAAAAAGAGAACGAACGAACGAAGAGAAACUUGCCAAAUGAAAAUGGACGAUCGAAGAAUAAAAUAAAAAAAUAAAAACCAUUGAAACGCAAGUUGGAUACUUGAAAAAGUCCGCAUUAUAUAAAACCGCUGAAUUUAUAUUCUUUCGAAUGAUAGCACUCGAUUGUCCUUCUUUGACCAUAAACGUUCAUGGUGCUACUUCGAAUUUCAUAAUGUCAUGGCAAAGAAGAAUGCCGGAAUGUCUCCGGAGUCACGGAAUUAAGUGUUAAACGUUUGCAACUUUCUAACGCUAAUGGGGGCCUCCUCGAACCACCGACGACAUUACUUUUUCUUUCGAGAUGAUGACUUAAUUAGCAGACGGAUAAUUAUUUCUCUUCUCUUUCUCAGCCGAUAGACGAUACUUUUUCUCUACCCUUUCGGCGAGGAUAAUGAGAAUAAUUACGGUUAUUAGGGAUUAGAUUUAUGACCGAGGAACCUACAUUUGUGAAAGCUACAAUUUGUGAAAGCUAAAAUCUCCCCCCCCCCUCUCUCUCUCAUACUCGUACAAAAGUCAACGAAUAUUUAUAAUUAUUCCAAAUUCAUUCGAAUGAAUUUGAUCGGUUAAAUUAAUGCUUUUAUUAUUUAUUAUUAAUAGAUUCAUCGAAAUACCCGUUUGAAAGAUUUUGUUAAGUUGAACAAACUGAUUCGCUUAAUUUAUAUAAUAAGUCUCGUUAUGUUAAUUUCGUAAUUUUGGAAUAGUUCUACGAAGGUUUUAACAUAAAUGCCAAUUUCAGACUCGAAAAUCUUCCUUCCCAUUCUUACACCCAGCGAAGAAGAAAAAAGAAAUUAAUUCGAGAGUUUAAAAGCAUCAACGACUUUCCCGUUCCCACGCCUCUUGGUUGGUACCACCAUGACCUCGACACGCGAACCCUAAGAUCCUCGAAAAGUUUCAGUAACGGUCAGGGCUAACAGUCGAUGAUAAUUAACUUCUUCGUAUCGAUUUUUGGAUCGGAACAAAUUUUAUAUGAAAUUCAAACGGAUUAAAGGUAAAAUAACAAUUUUCAUUUGCCAACCGCAACGACUGCAAUUUCAUAUUUCCAAAUAUUUUGUCGGCUUGCAAAUGUUGCAAGAUGAUAAAGAAAUGAUACGAAAAGGUAUGGAAAAGAAAAUAUUAGAGAAAUUUGAAGAUUAUCCUCUUAGCUAGCUCGGCAAGCUAUUAAGGGCACACGAAGAGCGUUAAGGAGACUCGAAGAGAAGAUGGCUUAUGCAGAUUCCUCGUAUUAAUAACUACCAUCUCCAGUCUUAUGCCUAAGACAAGCCGCAAAGUCAAGAUCACAGAGGUUAAGGCGUGUUCAACAAGCUGCUCAUGGCUACCACUUAAAGGGCCGCCCCCAGUCGUAUGCAUACGGAAGUGCAACGUAACUUCUUCUAUCUUCUUCUUCUUCUUCAUUUACCAUAGUUAAAUUUGCUAACUCGUUCGGAUCGUCCAAUUUUCCAAAUCCCGUCGAUCUAAUCGAAAUGACGACAUCGAUAUCGGAAUCGAGCCAACGAACGUUACUUCGAAUUAUUCCAACGAUAAUUAUUUUCAUCUAAUUUUGCUUAUCUAUAAAAGUUCAAAAGUUCAGUCGGUGUUACGAAUUUGAAGGUAAAAAAGGAGAUAAAAGUAAAGUCUAUAAAUCAUCUCUCAAUGUUCUUUUACUCCGAGCUCAACGUUAAAAGGUACAAUGCACGAUCUGUAAAAGGUAUUCGCGAAGUCAAGAGUGAUAUAUCGCCGUGAGAGUUCUACCAUUGUUUGCGAGUAAGUUCAUAACCAUGAGGGUGAAAGAGAAAGAGAGAGAGAGAGAGAGAGAGACGAGACCCCGCUUCGACUAACAGCUUCCUCGUAUCAAUAUGAUCACUUUUGUGAUUAUAUAAUUAACAAGUAUUAUAUAUAGAAUUUCUAAUGACAAUGAUUAAACGUUUUCGACUUACCGUUUGGAGCUUGUCUGCAAAGUCUGGCGAACAUCCUUUUGAUUUAUCAACGAACGUUCACCUGUAACAAAGCAACGACAAAAAAUAUUACCAAAAAAUAAGAUCAAAUAAUUAUGCGAUAGUUUAUAAUUUUAUUAUACCUAAUUGAAUGUAAGAUAUGCGAGAGUAUGAAAAGAUUUAAAACGAGGAAGCGUAGAUACUCGAUCAAAGUUUUGCGUCGGCUAUAAUUAUUCCGGAUGUGUUGGGACGUUAAUUAGUAACGUUAAUUACGCGAAACGACUUUCAGCGAAUACUAUCCCAAUGAUUCACCCCCCAUGGCCAUGACUAUUCGGUUUAUCCUAUUUGUCCCGCAUAAAUAGAAAGAUUUCGAGAUCGAUAAAAGAGAAAGAGAGAAGGAGGAGGAGGGGGGGGGCAGCAGCACAUGCAAAUCUUUAGUUCAAAGUUUAUAAGAUUUAAUUAACUAUAGGAUUAACGGUUUCGAACUUUAAUAAAACCGGUUCUCGUAUUUUAAUUGACUUCAUUCGGAGACUCCAUAAAUUCAUCAGAUUUCGUGGAUAUACUUUCGUACGCGCGAAUGAAUUUCUUUUAUUUUCUUUCUCUUUUUCUUUUUUUCCGACAAAUAUCUGCAAUCUUUCUUAAUUAGCGCUAAUUACGAUAUCUUUCGCGUACCAUGCGAGAAAAUAUCUCAAGGGCGACAGAAAUCUAAUUGUGAGAUAUAAAUUUGUUGAUAAAAAAUUAAUCGAACGGGAAAAACAAAUAUAUGAAAAUAUCGUUGGGGAAUUUUCAAUGUAAUUCAUUAACAAAGCCAAUAAUAAAAAGGAAAUAAUAAAUAAUUGAUCGAGCCAACCGAAGCGCAAAUAAUUAUAGCAAUCGCGAUGGAAAUUUUUCCAAGGAACUUGGUAAAUAUUCGAGCGUUGUCGGGAAUCGCCGUACACGUAAGAAAAGAAGAAAAUGAACGGAUACCGGAAAGUCGGGUAUAACUCGCUCGAUCGAUUCUCGC